AAAAAAAGGUCCCGAAUAGGUGCUGCAUCGCCCCCACCGCUUCGCCUCGAUUGGCACCGGCGAAGGCCACCCCGCCGCUCGACCUCGACUCGCACUGGAGGCGACCACCACCAUCCUCCCUGCUCCCUCCCCUCCCCCAACUCGAUAUGGAUGCCUAACCUGCGGGAACGGGCAGGCGGCCGGCGGGCGAUGUGAGGCGCGGUGGCGGCACGAGGAAGACGGGCAGAUCCGGGCACGGCGUCGACCGAUCUGGCGGCUGGUGCGGCGGCUUGUUCCUGUCCCAACGGCGUCCUGCUCAUCCAUAGAAGGAGAGAGAAGGGCCCGAGGGAGAGAGGAAAUAGAUGAAGAAAGGAGAAGGGGCGAUCACAGGGUGAGGGAGGCAGUCGCCGGCGAUGGCGGCUCCGGUGACUGGUCGACGGGCUUGCUAGGCAAGGCUAAGGAGUACGCUAGGCUGAGAUUCGAUAGAGGGAAGAAGUUGUGGUGGCGGCGAAUUAUGCAGCCAUUGUCUCUCACAACCGCCGGCCCCUGCUCGCGACAUAUCUACUGAAGCCGCCUCUGCCUACUCCGGUGUGUUGCAGCUCCUUACUCUAGCCACAUGUCGCUUGCUCUCCCGCUAGCCUCUGCCUGCUCUAGUCUCGAAGUUGAUGACACCCUAAUGCAAAGCUCCCACAAUCAUCCGCUCCGUCUCAGCAGGAGGAGAGCAAUGGAAAUAACACCCCGUCGCGGUCCUGGUGCUUCUCUCCGUGGGUUCGCUUACCUCGGCGUUUGUGGCUUCUACAGGUACGUACUAGACGACUACCCAUUGUUUUUGUUUUCUAUUGACAGUUUGAUCGCUUCAUCAAUCCUUCUAGAGGGUCUUGACAGGAAGGAUUGAGCAGCCACUGUGCUGGAGUAGACUAUGUGACAGGUUUUUUCCUCUCUCUCCUACCCGUGAUUGGUUUCUUUGGUGAAGAAAGCAUCACUAUCUUUCAAUACAUCAUGGAUGCUCAACUUGUAUGUCUACAUGGUACAAGAAUGAAGAUUAACCAUUCAAUCUAUUGAUUCAGAGUGAGACAAGGGUGAAACAGAAUAAGCUCAUUUUUGUGGUGAGUUCCCUAGGCCCCAGAACUAGCAUUUUAAUUACAAAAUUCAGUCUUUGAUCACGUUAUUUCAGUUUCAUUAUAGACCUUAUAAUAUUUUUUAUGCAUUAAUAUAAGGUUUAUAAUAUUUUGUGGAGCAAUCAGUUGUGCAUAGAAAAGAGCUCACCUAAAUUAAUGACACGUUCAUCUUAUCUUCGAUUAAAAAAAUUUGCCCCCUAAUAUUCAGUUCUACUGAGAGUUGUAGAAGGCAAAAAUCCAGCAAAUUAACUCAAGUAAGUGUUUUUGGUAUUUCCCAACGUAAUUAAAAAAUUUCUUCUCAAAAUACGACAUGGUCAUUGUCGGAAAAGAAUAUUUAGCAUGAAUGUAGGUGCUUUCAUAUGAAGCUGGACAUGUUUACAAUGAUCGACCGGAUAUCGUUACACGUGUCCUGAAGUUUAAUGAUUUCUGAGAAGUUGUUAAAAGUGGACAUUUGUUUCAUACAAUUCAAGCAUGUAAGUUAUAUACAUACUGAUUUUGCCCUGCUUUGUUUUAAUCUUUUCAUUUAUAUAAUCUAACUUUGUCCAUCUAUUUCUCUUCCUCUAUUUUUCGGUUAUCCAAGUUUAUACAUGGUGGGGUUCCAGAAUAGAGGCUUGCCUCAUACUCAUACUUCAAUUCGGCUUAUAGGGAACAAUCAUGAGCCUUCGGCCUCCUUCAUAGAUGGUUUGAUUUCGGCUGAGAUACCUGAUCGUUUGGUUGAGCCCUGGGUUAUGCUCUUAUGGAUUAAUUUAUGGUUCACGGUCCAUGUGGAGACUACAAAGUAAAGUGUGCAUGUAUGAAAGAUGGAUUGUGUUCCAAAAGAUUUCCCAAAGAUUUUAAUGAGAAGACAUCGGUUGAUGAUAGAGGCUUUCCUAUAUAUCAUAGACGUGAUUUGGGUUACUAUGUGAGGAACAAGGGUACUGUUAAGCUGGAUAAUCGAUGGGUAGUUUUCAUAUAAUAGUUUUGGUAAUGUAAUUAUUAAUGUAUAUUUCUGCUUGCGAAGCGUACUGGCAUAUGUUUGCUUUCAAUAUACAUGGUCGUGAGCCUGUAGUGGAGAGAUUGGUUGUGCACCUUCCUCGAGUCUUCAUUACGAGUUACCUUGGAACCAGGAUUUUAAUUUUUGUUGAUAAGACGACAAAAAUUAAUGGAUACAAUUAUGGAGAAAAUAAAUU
This 2266-nucleotide ribosomal RNA is filed under the name Triticum aestivum (bread wheat). RNAcentral describes it as "partial small subunit ribosomal RNA". Lineage: Eukaryota; Viridiplantae; Streptophyta; Magnoliopsida; Poales; Poaceae. The record is from RNAcentral.